Molecule: microRNA precursor, 96 nt
Filed under: Marmota monax (woodchuck)
Lineage: Eukaryota; Metazoa; Chordata; Mammalia; Rodentia; Sciuridae
Source: RNAcentral
AGUGGAAUUGCAGAUUCAUAUGAUGAUUUAACUUUUUGAGGAGUAGCCAAGUUAUUUUCCAAAGUUAAGGCAUCAUUUUACAUUCCUACCAUCUAU